This 324-nucleotide ribosomal RNA is filed under the name uncultured eukaryote. Its description in RNAcentral is "partial 18S ribosomal RNA". It matches the Rfam family "Eukaryotic small subunit ribosomal RNA", at positions 1470 to 1796 of the family's 1831-position model. The record is from RNAcentral.
CCCUUAGAUGUUCUGGGCCGCACGCGCGCUACACUGAUGCAUUCAACGAGUUUCAUCCUGGUCCGAGAGGAAUGGGUAACCUUUUGAAAGUGCAUCGUGAUAGGGAUAGACUAUUGCAAUUAUUGGUCUUCAACGAGGAAUUCCUAGUAGACGUAGUUCAUCAGACUGCAUCGAUUACGUCCCUGCCCUUUGUACACACCGCCCGUCGCUCCUACCGAUUGAAUGCUCAGGUGAGCCAUUCGGACUUUCAUCAUGCUGGUUUCCAGUUUUGAUGAAGGAAAGUCUUGCGAACCUUAUCAUUUAGAGGAAGGAGAAGUCGUAACA